Non-coding RNA from Paramuricea clavata, 520 nucleotides. Lineage: Eukaryota; Metazoa; Cnidaria; Anthozoa; Malacalcyonacea; Plexauridae. The record is from the annotation of a GenBank genome assembly.
GUUGUUGUUGUUGUUGUUGUUGUUGUUGUUGUUGUUGUUGUUGUUGUUGUUGUCUUUGUUGUUGUUGUUGUUGUUGUUGUUGUUGUUGUUGUUGUUGUUGUUGUUGUUGUUGUUGUUGUUGUUGUUGUUGUUGUUGUUGUUGUUGUUGUUGUUGUUGUUGUUGUUGUUGUUGCUGUUGUUGUUGUUGAUGUUGUUGUUAUUAUCAGUCCCCAAUUAGUUGUGUAAAUAAUAUCCAGUUGUUAUCCAGUUGUUGUUGUUAGUUGUUGUUGUUGUCAGUUGUCGUUGUCGUUGUCGUUGUCGUUGUCGUUGUCGUUGUCGUUGUCGUUGUCGUUGCCGUUGUCGUUGUCGUUGUCGUUGUCGUUGUCGUUGUCGUCGUCGUCGUCGUCGUCGUCGUCGUCGUCGUCGUUGUCGUUGUCGUUGUCGUUGUCGUUGUUGUUGUUGUUGUUGUUAUCAGUCCCCAAUUAUUUGUGUAAAUAAUAUCCCGUUAUGUUCAGUUGUUGUUGUUAUCCAGUUGUGUCCC